GAGGAUAUAGCUCAACGGCAGAGCACUUGUCUACCAUGUGUGCAGCCCUGGGUUCAAGUCCCAGCACCUCCC
Molecule: transfer RNA, 72 nt
Filed under: Fukomys damarensis (Damara mole-rat)
Lineage: Eukaryota; Metazoa; Chordata; Mammalia; Rodentia; Bathyergidae
Rfam family: tRNA
About the family: Transfer RNA (tRNA) molecules are approximately 80 nucleotides in length. Their secondary structure includes four short double-helical elements and three loops (D, anti-codon, and T loops). Further hydrogen bonds mediate the characteristic L-shaped molecular structure. tRNAs have two regions of fundamental functional importance: the anti-codon, which is responsible for specific mRNA codon recognition, and the 3' end, to which the tRNAs corresponding amino acid is attached (by aminoacyl-tRNA synthetases). tRNAs cope with the degeneracy of the genetic code in two manners: having more than one tRNA (with a specific anti-codon) for a particular amino acid; and 'wobble' base-pairing, i.e. permitting non-standard base-pairing at the 3rd anti-codon position.
Source: Rfam by way of RNAcentral